GGCUCCAUGGUCAAGCGGUUAAGACAUCGCCCUUUCACGGCGGUAACGGGGGUUCGAUUCCCCCUGGAGUCACUA
This 75-nucleotide transfer RNA is filed under the name Lachnotalea sp. AF33-28. RNAcentral's name for it is "tRNA-Glu". It matches the Rfam family "tRNA". Rfam says of the family: Transfer RNA (tRNA) molecules are approximately 80 nucleotides in length. Their secondary structure includes four short double-helical elements and three loops (D, anti-codon, and T loops). The record is from RNAcentral. Lineage: Bacteria; Bacillati; Bacillota; Clostridia; Lachnospirales; Lachnospiraceae.